GUCCUGGCCCUAAACGGUGUUCACUUGGUGUGCGGGGAGUCGACCCCCUGCGUGCCGAAGCUAACGCGAUAAGUGAACCGCCUGGGAAGUACGACCGCAAGGUUAAAACUCAAAGAAAUUGACGGGGGCCCGCACAAGCGGUGGAGCAUGUGGCUUAAUUCGAUGCAACGCGAAGAACCUUACCUGGCCUUGACAUGCUGGUAGUAGAAGCCAGAAACGGCGACGAUCCCGCGUAAGCGGGAAGCCAGCACAGGUGCUGCAUGGUUGUCGU
This 271-nucleotide ribosomal RNA is filed under the name uncultured bacterium. RNAcentral describes it as "partial 16S ribosomal RNA". It matches the Rfam family "Bacterial small subunit ribosomal RNA", at positions 793 to 1055 of the family's 1533-position model. The record is from RNAcentral.